ACCCAGACUCCUACGGGAGGCAGCAGUGGGGAAUAUUGCGCAAUGGGCGAAAGCCUGACGCAGCGACGCCGCGUGAGGGAUGAAGGUCUUCGGAUCGUAAACCUCUGUCAGCAGGGAAGAACGGUCACUGUGCUAAUCAGCAGUGAAUUGACGGUACCUGCAAAGGAAGCACCGGCUAACUACGUGCCAGCAGCCGCGGUAAUACGUAGGGGGCAAGCGUUAUCCGGAUUUACUGGGUGUAAAGGGAGCGUAGACGGAUGGAUAAGUCUGAAGUGAAAGCCCGCGGCUCAACUGCGGGACUGCUUUGGAAACUGUGCAUCUUGAGUACGGGAGGGGCAGGCGGAAUUCCUGGUGUAGCGGUGAAAUGCGUAGAUAUCAGGAGGAACACCGGCGGCGAAGGCGGCCUGCUGGACCGAAACUGACGUUGAGGCUCGAAAGCGUGGGGAGCAAACAGGAUUAGAUACCCCAGUAU
This 472-nucleotide ribosomal RNA is filed under the name uncultured bacterium. Its description in RNAcentral is "bacterial SSU rRNA". It matches the Rfam family "Bacterial small subunit ribosomal RNA", at positions 329 to 793 of the family's 1533-position model. The record is from RNAcentral.